Molecule: microRNA, 24 nt
Filed under: Solanum lycopersicum (tomato)
Lineage: Eukaryota; Viridiplantae; Streptophyta; Magnoliopsida; Solanales; Solanaceae
Description: sly-miR10529
Source: miRBase by way of RNAcentral
AACGAGUGAGACUUGCUCAGUUGG